AUCUCCUACGGGAGGCAGCAGUGGGGAAUAUUGCACAAUGGGCGAAAGCCUGAUGCAGCGACGCCGCGUGAAGGAUGAAGUAUUUCGGUAUGUAAACUUCUAUCAGCAGGGGAGAAAAUGACGGUACCUGAGUAAGAAGCCCCGGCUAACUACGUGCCAGCAGCCGCGGUAAUACGUAGGGGGCAAGCGUUAUCCGGAUUUACUGGGUGUAAAGGGAGCGCAGACGGUGAGACAAGUCUGAAGUGAAAGCCCGGGGCUCAACCCCGG
Molecule: ribosomal RNA, 267 nt
Filed under: uncultured bacterium
Lineage: Bacteria
Description: partial 16S ribosomal RNA
Rfam family: Bacterial small subunit ribosomal RNA
Source: RNAcentral